Molecule: long non-coding RNA, 1350 nt
Organism: Pseudophryne corroboree (corroboree frog)
Lineage: Eukaryota; Metazoa; Chordata; Amphibia; Anura; Myobatrachidae
Exons: 3
Source: RefSeq, a predicted model, not a curated record
CCGCUCAUCUCUCCCCCGGGUCCCCCAACCAACGCUGGUGCCUGUCAUCUACCGCCCCCCCCCCGCCAGUGCUGAUCAUCUCUCCUCCCUCCCUCCCCGCUGGUGCUGCUCAUCUCCCCCCCCCCCACACACCAUCAGGGCAGCUGCCGCUCAUCUCUCCCCCAGGUCCCCCAACCAACGCUGGUGCCUGUCAUCUACCGCCCCCGCCAGUGCUGAUCAUCUCUCCCCCCUUCCUCCCCGCUGGUGCUGCUCAUCUCCCCCCCCCCCCCCACCCACUCACCAUCAGUGCAGCUGCCGCUCAUCUCUCCCCCCAACCACCGCUGGUGCCUCUAAUCUACCCCCCUCUCACCUGGUGCUGCUUAUCAUCCCCCCCCCUCCCCCUCCCCUCCCCUUGGCCUGCAGUGCAAUGUACAGACCAAGGGAGCGCCGCGUCAGGAGCCUGCAGCCAGAAGAAGAAAUCAUUGUCUCCAUGGUCACGAGCCGAACUCCGGGACGUCACUUCCGCUCGGCUGGAGGGAGCUGGAGGCAUCGCGGGAGUCCUGCUGACGGCCGGGACAACGGGUUGCCAUGGUCACCAGGCCGGGCCCUGCUACGUCACAUCCGCCCUGCCGCCAGAAGCUGGGAGUGCAAGUCGGAGCUUGCAGGCAACGUGACUGGGGACGCACGCUGGUGGGGGAGGCCCAUGGGAUGUGUUCAGGAAAGACAUUACCUCCAGCUGGUCCUACAGAUGGUAUUAUAAACCUUAUACCUGACUGCUUUGCUUCAAUGAGUUCUGUUCCUGCAAUAAAGACAAUGUCAAACUGCAUUUAAGAAAUUGAAUUUGGAAUUCUCCAUCCCCUGCACAGCAGAAUUUUUGGCUGAAAGGAAGACCACAAACUCUGGAUUGAUUAUUGGAGCCACAACAAAAUGACUAGAAAUAAAUUAUACUGAUUUCACUUUUAGAAUAUGUUGAUUGCAUUAGAGGAGCUUCAUAUUUAGAAAACUAAAUGAAAAAAAUGACUUAUAAUUUAAUAUGAAUAAAAGAAACAGGCAUGUGAAAAACUCAGUUUAAUACUUGGCAUUAACACUACAAUGUUUAGUAAUGUAGCAAAGCUUCAUACAGAACCAUACAGAAAGUAGAUGGUGAUACAUUGCUAUCCAUCAAUAGUAUAAAGCACAAAACUUGUUUGCCAUGAUACGGUUUAACAAAGUAAACUGACAUUGUAAACGCAAUGUCAUUUUAACAUAAAUUAGAGAAGUUAGAAGAGUUGAGAACCAAGAAAAGAAGAAAAGGGGAGAGGAGGAGAGAAAAAAGAGUGAAAGAAGAGAGAGCAACUAAAAAAAAAAAAAAAAAAGGAGAGAAAGAGGAAG